GGGUUGGGAGUAUAUGUGGAAACACAGGGAGACUCAUUGAGCUUUAGAACUGUGAAAAUAAAGGAAUCUACCAGGAUGCCUGAUCAUCGGGAAAUAAAACAUAAGAAAACAAAUAAGAAAUGUGUUCAAUCUCGGUGCUGAUAUCUUUUUUUAUGACAGAAUACAGGCUCCACAAGGCCAGGGAUCUUCGGAUUUGAUUCCAUGGUAUCCUGAGACCUUCAAGCCGUGGAUGACACAUAAUAGACAUUAAAAAAAUGUUGGAUGAAUGGAAUCUGUAUGGCAUCCCUCCAAUCCCAGAGAUGUGGCCCGCUCGGCACCGGGAAAGAAAUGCAAGAAGGUCUUUAUCAGUCAGGUACCCUACAGGUAGUUCUGGGCUUCAAGAAGGAAUGAUUCCAUCAUGUCCACCAGUUCCACGCUGUUGAAAACCGGCAACAAGACGUGCUUGCUGACCCUUCCUAUCCCAGAGCCACAAUCCAAAGCACAGUCUGUUCCAGCUCUCCCAGGGCCCUGCAGAAAGGUAUUUUGUGGGAUACUUCAAAUACAGACAACCCCCUCUGAGUCUAGCACACUCCAAUUGCCACUUUAAACAACUUUAUUUUGGUCAGUUUCAUGUAAUAAA
Canis lupus familiaris (dog) is the source of this 619-nucleotide long non-coding RNA. RefSeq lists it as uncharacterized. The record is from RefSeq and is a predicted model, not a curated record. The transcript has 4 exons. NCBI's taxonomy places the organism in Eukaryota, Metazoa, Chordata, Mammalia, Carnivora, Canidae.